Beta vulgaris subsp. vulgaris (sugar beet) is the source of this 2397-nucleotide RNA transcript. It is a transcript of the gene named phosphoglucomutase, chloroplastic, with no coding region annotated. The record is from RefSeq and is a predicted model, not a curated record. The transcript is spliced from 23 exons. Lineage: Eukaryota; Viridiplantae; Streptophyta; Magnoliopsida; Caryophyllales; Amaranthaceae.
UCUCUCCUCCCGCCCACCCCCCCAUACUACAACGUCUAUACACAACCUCCAAAUUUCUCAAACUUCCACUCUCUCUCUCUCUCCUCUAAGCUCUUAACAAUGGCGUUCUCUGUGAAACUACAACCUCCACUCUCUCUCUCCUCUCGAAGAACCACCACGAACAUUCUCUCUCAUCCUUCUCGCUCUCUCUCUUUCCUCAACCUCAAUUCUUCUACUAGAAAUUCUUCACAUUCUCUUUUCGCCAUUAAAGCUUCUUCUUCUUCGCAAUCUCCUUCUUCUUCUCCUUCCACCUCUACUGUCCUCGAAUCUCGUAAUGUAACGAUUAAAUUGGUGCCUACGAAACCUUAUGAUGGCCAGAAAACUGGUACAAGUGGUCUCCGGAAGAAGGUUAAAGUGUUUAUGCAAGAAAACUACCUUGCCAAUUGGAUACAGGCCUUGUUUAAUUCACUGCCUUCGGAGGACUAUGUGAAUGGGGUGUUGGUUCUAGGUGGUGACGGUCGUUACUUUAACAAAGAGGCUGCACAGAUAAUAAUCAAAAUCGCGGCAGCCAAUGGUGUUGCACAAAUUUUAGUUGGGAAGGAUGGUAUUUUGUCAACACCAGCAGUUUCUGCGGUGAUUCGAAAGAGGAAGGCCAAUGGUGGUUUUAUAAUGAGUGCGAGCCAUAAUCCUGGUGGGCCUGAAUAUGAUUGGGGAAUUAAGUUCAACUACAGCAGCGGGCAGCCUGCACCUGAAUCCAUCACGGACAAGAUAUACGGCAACACGCUUUCUAUAUCUGAAAUUAAGAUGGCAACCAUUCCUGAUGUAGAUCUUUCUCGUGUCGGAGUUACAAAAUUUGGCAACUUCGUUGUUGAAGUAGUUGACCCAGUUGCUGACUAUGUGGAGCUGAUGGAGAGUGUUUUUGAUUUUCAGCUUAUCAGAAGUCUUCUAUCACGAGCAGAUUUCAGGUUCACAUUUGACGCCAUGCAUGCAGUUACUGGUGCCUAUGCAAAACCAAUCUUUGUGGACAAGUUAGGAGCCAGUCCGGAAUCAAUAACCAAUGGGGUUCCUUUGGAAGACUUCGGUCACGGUCAUCCAGACCCUAAUCUCACUUAUGCUAAGGAUUUAGUUGACAUACUGUACGGUGAGAAUGGACCUGACUUUGGGGCUGCUAGUGAUGGUGAUGGCGAUAGAAAUAUGAUUCUGGGUAGAAAAUUCUUUGUUACGCCUUCAGAUUCAGUAGCUAUAAUUGCAGCAAAUGCUCAAGAAGCAAUACCAUACUUCCGUGAUGGAAUUAAGGGUUUGGCUCGAUCCAUGCCUACAAGUGGUGCACUUGAUCGUGUUGCUGAAAAAUUGAAUCUUCCCUUUUUUGAGGUUCCCACUGGUUGGAAAUUCUUUGGUAAUCUCAUGGAUUCUGGCAAAUUGUCAAUUUGUGGCGAAGAGAGCUUUGGUACUGGUUCUGAUCACAUCCGUGAAAAGGAUGGCAUAUGGGCUGUUUUAGCUUGGAUGUCAAUCAUUGCUUACAGAAAUAAGGAGAAGAAACCAGCAGAAAAACUAGUUUCUGUCUCAGAUGUAGUAAAAGAAUAUUGGGCAACUUAUGGAAGGAAUUUCUUCUCUAGAUAUGAUUAUGAAGAAUGUGAAUCUGAAGGUGCCAAUAAGAUGGUUGAUUAUCUCAGAGAUUUGGUAUCGAAGAGCAAGCAAGGGGAUAAAUAUGGGGAAUAUGUCCUCCAAUUUGCAGAUGACUUCAGUUACGAAGAUCCUGUUGAUGGAAGUGUGGCAUCAAAGCAAGGUGUUCGAUUCGUGUUUGCUGAUGGGUCAAGAAUAAUAUAUCGAUUAUCGGGUACUGGUUCUGCAGGUGCAACAAUUAGGAUAUACAUUGAGCAAUUUGAGCUUGAUGUCUCAAAACACGAUUUGGAUGCCCAAAUAGCAUUAAAACCAUUGAUAGAUCUUGCAUUAUCUGUAUCGAAGCUAAAGGACUUCACUGGAAGGGAGAAGCCUACUGUCAUCACAUAAGUAAAAAAGUGAUAAAGACAACAGUUUUGGCAAAUAUAGACUUCAUCUUCUUGCCCUAGCUAGUAGAUUUAGAAGCACAAAGACGACAUUCUUCAACCCAGACGCCAAAAACUUCAAAUGCUGAAGGUAUAUACGAUGAGGACUUCGAAAAGGUAAAAGUGGACUAUUUUGGAUUAUUAGUUGUUAAUAUGUUCACUGCAAUCGAAUUUUUUAGAAGCAUGUUAUAAGCACUUUCGGUAAUUAUUAGUAAAAACUACUUUAUUUAUAUCUCAAAACAUAGAAAGAUACAGAUAAAGAGUGUUAACCACACUCCCCUACUAUUACAAAAGGGAAAGAACAAAAAAAAACCAGAAAACAAAGAAGCUGAUUAAACCAGCAUAGGAGAAAAGUGAAAGGCAACAUCACUUC